Molecule: ribosomal RNA, 239 nt
Filed under: uncultured bacterium
Lineage: Bacteria
Description: partial 16S ribosomal RNA
Rfam family: Bacterial small subunit ribosomal RNA
Source: RNAcentral
AUGUCUGGGAAACUGCCUGAUGGAGGGGGAUAACUACUGGAAACGGUAGCUAAUACCGCAUAACGUCGCAAGACCAAAGAGGGGGACCUUCGGGCCUCUUGCCAUCAGAUGUGCCCAGAUGGGAUUAGCUAGUAGGUGGGGUAACGACUCACCUAGGCGACGAUCCCUAGCUGGUCUGAGAGGACGACCAGCCACACUGGAACUGAGACACGGUCCAGACUCCUACGGGAGGCAGCAUG